AGUGAACGCUGGCGGUAGGCCUAACACAUGCAAGUCGAACGGCAGCACAGUAAGAGCUUGCUCUUACGGGUGGCGAGUGGCGGACGGGUGAGGAAUACAUCGGAAUCUACUUUUUCGUGGGGGAUAACGUAGGGAAACUUACGCUAAUACCGCAUACGACCUACGGGUGAAAGCAGGGGAUCUUCGGACCUUGCGCGAUUGAAUGAGCCGAUGUCGGAUUAGCUAGUUGGCGGGGUAAAGGCCCACCAAGGCGACGAUCCGUAGCUGGUCUGAGAGGAUGAUCAGCCACACUGGAACUGAGACACGGUCCAGACUCCUACGGGAGGCAGCAGUGGGGAAUAUUGGACAAUGGGCGCAAGCCUGAUCCAGCAAUACCGCGUGGGUGAAGAAGGCCUUCGGGUUGUAAAGCCCUUUUGUUGGGAAAGAAAAGCAGCAGGUUAAUACCCCGCUGUUCUGACGGUACCCAAAGAAUAAGCACCGGCUAACUUCGU
Molecule: ribosomal RNA, 491 nt
Filed under: uncultured bacterium
Lineage: Bacteria
Description: partial 16S ribosomal RNA
Rfam family: Bacterial small subunit ribosomal RNA
Source: RNAcentral